GAUGAAAAGGCCUGUUAGAGUCGAUCAUUUCAGAUAAUUUUUAUUUUCUCUUUUUUUCAUACAGACAUCAUCAUUUCACUAUUGAUUUGAAAUAAACAUGUGUAUUUAUGAUAAAAAUCCAUAAUAUUAUUACAAGGCCAAUACACAUAAAAGUCAGAUGUGUCAAUUUUAUUUUUAGAAACGGUUGCGGUCACAUAGUAAUUGACAGAAUUAAAUGUAAAUUUCAGCAUAUUUUUUUUCACACAAAAAUGUGUUUGUGCGUAGAAAUGUGAUCAGGCUGAGCACAUGGCCUUAUGGAUUACAUAAUUUUCGGCGCUUUACGUAAAAACAGUUUAAGGACAGGAUCACAAACACUCAAUUUAUGCUUAAAUGUACAUGCGAUACAUUAUGCAUAUGCAUAUAGUUCACGAUAGUAUCGCAUAUGGAAGUAACUGGAAUAAAUUUGGACUAUUUCCUUCGGAUGUUUACAUGACUGUGCUGUCAAAAGGCCUCCCAUGUGUUUACAUAUUUUGACAGGUCGAGUUGCUCUUGCAGGAACGACGAUAAGAUGAAGAAGUAAAUUGAUCCAAAUAAACAAUGGUACAAUGAAUGUUAUAAUUACCAAGAAGAAGACUGCACUUUUAUACAGUUGAAGUAUGAUAUGGUGAAUAAGUACCCUCAGUGUAGCCUUAUGGAGCUUUGGCUAGACCAUGAACAGUAGACAUCAAUAAGGUACAGGAUAGUUGCUGCUUUUAUUAAAUUCUUUCAUGUAUAUACUAAUUAUCAGUUCAUAUGAAACUUGGUACACAACAUCAGCAUGAAGUGGACAGGGCUAUCAAAUUUGAUUAUUUGUUCCUUCAAUUAAUAUGCCAUUUGUUUAUUUUUAAAUUAUUAUAUCACAGCUACCUUGAUACCUUGUGUAUUAAAACUCCUGCAAAUUCAAUCAGAUUCAAAUGGGUCAUGGUAUACUUUAUGGCCAGGCAGCAGACAUACACAUACUAUAGUGAAUUUUACAUUCUGGUGACCCAUUUCUAAACUUAUGGCCCUUUUUGGACUUUGAAUUAAAUACAUAUUACAGUAUGUACUCAGCUCCUCCCCCACUUUCUAUCCAAUACCCUUGUAACUUGUUAUACAUAUUU
Long non-coding RNA from Mercenaria mercenaria, 1118 nucleotides. RefSeq lists it as uncharacterized. The transcript is spliced from 3 exons. The record is from RefSeq and is a predicted model, not a curated record. NCBI's taxonomy places the organism in Eukaryota, Metazoa, Mollusca, Bivalvia, Venerida, Veneridae.